UGGAGGAAAGCAGGGGAUCGUAAGACCUUGCGCUUUUGGAGCGGCCGAUGUCUGAUUAGCUAGUUGGUGGGGUAAUGGCCUACCAAAGCUUCGAUCAGUAGCUGGUCCGAGAGGACGGCCAGCCACACUGGGACUGAGACACGGCCCAGACUCCUACGGGAGGCAGCAGUGGGGAAUUUUGGACAAUGGGCGCAAGCCUGAUCCAGCCAUGCCGCGUGAGUGAAGAAGGCCUUCGGGUUGUAAAGCUCUUUCAGCCGGGAAGAAAAGGCUGCGAUUAAUAAUCGCAGUUCAUGACGGUACCGGAAGAAGAAGCACCGGCUAACUACGUGCCAGCAGCCGCGGUAAUACGUAGGGUGCGAGCGUUAAUCGGAAUUACUGGGCGUAAAGGGUGCGCAGGCGGUUUUGUAAGUCAGAUGUGA
Molecule: ribosomal RNA, 419 nt
Filed under: uncultured ammonia-oxidizing beta proteobacterium
Lineage: Bacteria; Pseudomonadati; Pseudomonadota; Betaproteobacteria
Description: bacterial SSU rRNA
Rfam family: Bacterial small subunit ribosomal RNA
Source: RNAcentral